This 382-nucleotide unclassified non-coding RNA is filed under the name soil metagenome. RNAcentral's name for it is "partial contains 5.8S ribosomal RNA, internal transcribed spacer 2, and large subunit ribosomal RNA". The stretch from base 5 to 119 matches the Rfam family "5.8S ribosomal RNA", at positions 40 to 154 of the family's 154-position model. The record is from RNAcentral.
GAUGAGAACGCAGCGAAAUGCGAUAAGUAAUGUGAAUUGCAGAAUUCAGUGAAUCAUCGAAUCUUUGAACGCACCUUGCGCUCCUUGGUAUUCCGAGGAGCAUGCCUGUUUGAGUGUCAUGAAAUUCUCAACCUUUCUGGCUUUUGCUAGUCAGGCUUGGAUUAUGGGAGCUGCUGGCUUUUGAAGUCGGCUCUUCUAAAAUGUAUUAGCAAGAUCAUUGCUGCUCAUCAUUGGUAUGAUAAUUAUCUAUAUCAUUGAGAGUCAGUUUCCUUUAUUGGAAGAUUUUGCUCCUAACGUUCUUUAGCAAGACAACAUUUGACGAUUUUGACCUCAAAUCAGGUAGGACUACCCGCUGAACUUAAGCAUAUCAAUAAGCGGAGGA